Molecule: ribosomal RNA, 207 nt
Filed under: uncultured bacterium
Lineage: Bacteria
Description: partial 16S ribosomal RNA
Rfam family: Bacterial small subunit ribosomal RNA
Source: RNAcentral
CUCGUAGGUGGUUUGUCGCGUUGUUCGUGAAAACUCACAGCUUAACUGUGGGCGUGCGGGCGAUACGGGCAGACUAGAGUACUGCAGGGGAGACUGGAAUUCCUGGUGCAGCGGUGGAAUGCGCAGAUAUCAGGAGGAACACCGGUGGCGAAGGCGGGUCUCUGGGCAGUAACUGACGCUGAGGAGCGAAAGCGUGGGUAGCGAACA